GCCCCAGGAUGACCCAAAGCUCUUCUACCUCUUUCUCUCUACAUCCCCAGCACAUAAAGGAGCCCUUGACAUGUAGUGGCCCCUCAAUAAGUAUUUUUUUGAAUUAUUGAAUGCUAUGCCUUUAUUUCUUAUUAUACCAGAAAUCUGAGAGGACACAAGAGGCUAGACCUGCCAUCUUACCCCCUCAGGGAGCCUGAGACUGAGCCAACAGAGCACAAAGCAUGCGGCAGGUAGAGACACGUGAUUAUAUCUGGGAGCCCUGAAUCUUGCCAUGCCUGAAGCCAGAGCUGCCCUUGGUCUUCUCACUUCCAUGAGCCAGAGAUAUGGAACAAAGAAUACAAGACUUAGCAGAGAGAAACGUCUACUCCAUGGAGGCACUCAACCAUGAGAACAUUUUUGAAAGAUAGAGAUGGGCGCUGAACGAGCGAGGAAAUGCCUGAGCUGAGCAGACUGGAGCAGGAGACUCUGCUGGCUGGCUUGAUGAAGUCAAGCCGUGUUGAAGAAGCCGCCAUGGCAAGGAGCUGCAAGUAGGCCCCCGUUAUCAUGGGCGGCCUCUAUGGCCUGCAGAUGGAAUGCAGCUGACGGCCUGCCAAAACCGAGGCCCACAGUCUUACCGUGAUAAGAAAGUCAACUCCUCCAGCAAGCUGAAGAAGCUUGGAAGCAGACUUUCCUCCAAUCAAGCUUCCAGAUCAGAACGAACCCAGUGGACACCUUGAGUGCAACCUUACAAGACCCUGAGCAGAGGAGCCAGCUAAGCUGUGUCCAGACCCUUAACCCACAGGAAAUGUGAUAUAAAAAUGUAUACUUUCAAAGCCUCUAAAUUUCUGAUAAUUUGUUACAGCAAUAGAAAACAAAUAUAUCCCCCACUAGACUAUAAGCUCUGUGUGGGCAGGAACCACGUCCAUGGCGUACCCCUCAUCGUACCUCCAGCAACCUACAGCGUGCUUCACAAAUAUUUAUUGACUGGAUGUGCAUCAUCCCUACAACAGUUAUAAGCACUCCAUAAGGAGGAUCAUUUUUACUCGAGUUUUCCUCGAGUGAAUCCAAGAUUCACACAGAAAGAGAAGAGACAGGACUUGAACGAGCAUUUCCUCAGACCGGACCCCAAGCUCACUCUCUCACAUCUGUAGGAACAGUGUGGGCUUUCCAUCCCGGCAGGCCCAGUAGAAGCCUACGGACAUUACUGUCCCUCACCCACACUCACGGCAGACACAUCACUGAUAAAUCCCUGUAUGCUCUCAGGCUGAGUCCAUUGCAAACCUUCUCAACUCAGCAUUUUGGUAGCCACGAGCAAUUGAUCAGAGCUGGCCCAGGAGAGGAAACCUAUUUAUCAUCUGAGCUCUCAGCUCUUAGUUCUCUUCAUGUCUCCGUGCAGCUGAAUUUGGGAUCUAUCCCUAGGAAUGUGCAGGAAAUAAUAGGAAAGCAACGAAAGGCUGGGCAUAGAUAGAGUAGUACCCAGGAAAGAAAAGUCAAGAAAAGAAAAGGGAGCUGGGUGGGGGGGGGGGGGGUGGGCAACAUUCCUAGAACUUUCCCUGCAGAGGAAAGCCCUACAACAUUUCCAGGCAGGAAAUUCCACUAAUGACGCAUGCUACAGCUGGGUUCUCUCAUGGCUGAAUUCCCUAAGUUAGCUGAUGGAUUCUUCCUUGCACAGAAAUUGGAUUCAACAAUUCAAAUCCUUUUUUAAAUUAUUAUCACUGCCAUGCCACCCCGGCUGAUGACUACACCAGGGGAGCAAUGGACUGAACAUUUGCCAUGGCUGAUAUUUUUGUUGUUUGGACAAUUAAGGUGUUAUGUUUGCCUGAAGGGUUAUAGUUUUGAUAUUUUAAACAUUAAUCUCCAGAAAAGAAAGCUAACUGUUCAAACAAGGAAUACCUACGCUGCCAUAAAUAUGAUAGAGCCUUGAAGUAAGAAAAGAGGUUGAAAAGUGAGGAAAACAGUCAAUGAAACAGUUGCCUGGCUUUGACUUUAUUUGUUAGUAAAUUGAGUCAAUCCACUUUGCUCUAGGCAUUAAAUAGACCAGGGUUACCAAAGAUAUUAUGCUGACAAUACCACCUCUCCUGCCAUGGCAGGCAUUACUAAUUAAUCACAUCAUUCCUUCCUCCCUGAGUCCCAGCUUGGUCUUGGGAACCUUCCCAACAUGGAGCUCCAAGCAGCCAAUAACAAUCUAUCAUGUUGGAUCUCCAGGCAAAACUACUUGCCGUCCAAGAUUAUUGGCACAGCCCCAACUCACAAGUUAGCAAACAAACAAACAAACAAACAAACAAAACCAGUAGAGUGAAGCUUUAAGAUUAAGAACACAGAAACUGGACUAAGAGUGUCUGGAUUGGAAGCCCAUCUCUGCUAUCCAUUAGCCAUUCCAUGCCUCAGUUAUGUCAGCCAUAAAAUGGGGAUAAUAACAGCAUCUACCUCACUAAGCUACAAUGUCGAUGACAUGAGUUCAAAUACAUACAGAUCCUGGAAGAGUACAUAGCAAUGGCACCGGCUGUUCUUAUAUUUUGAUUCCCUUUGUGCCAUGUACAAAAUCUAGCUCUUCUAUCGGACCAUAGGUUGUUCAAAGGUAAGCAACAUGCUUUUUCUUCUUUGCAUCCCCAGCGUUUAAUACACAAUAGGAGCUGAAUCAGACUCUUCUAGCCAGACCGACAGACUCACUAUUUCCACCCUUGCACCUUGUGCAUUUCUGCUUCCGCCUCUUCCACAGCUUCUCGCCUCCCCCACUGCUUCCCAUCCCCCCACCAGCCUCCAUGUCUUUACGGCUGCCCUUCAUCUUCUUCAUCCCUCUACUCUCCCCACCAAACCCACCCCGCCAAUAUUCACCUGAUCUCUAGCCGUCCUUCAGAGCCUACCCACCUGGAGUCCUUAUUCAUCUGUUCACCAAAUAUUUCCAGCUCCCUGCUUUCUGGGCUCGUAGUGGAAUUUUACUUCCUGCCCUGCCCCCUGUGGUGGGGUGCAACCAUAUUAAAAGGUUGGCCCAUGAGUGGAGAAUUUGAUUGCUGGUGUGAGACCCUCCCAAUCUCAGAUCCGUUUCCUCUGCCACAACAAGAAGCAAAGAUCCAACCUGAGGCUGCUCUGUCUGUCCUGUCUGGAGUGAAAUUAGGGGAGCAGAGCCACCAGCUGACCCAUGACGGACCAAUAGCUUGAAUGAGAAAUAAAUCUUCAUUUUUUUUAA
Molecule: long non-coding RNA, 3166 nt
Organism: Acinonyx jubatus (cheetah)
Lineage: Eukaryota; Metazoa; Chordata; Mammalia; Carnivora; Felidae
Exons: 3
Source: RefSeq, a predicted model, not a curated record